GUAAUCAUAAACCAGAAGCCGUUCAUCUCUCGCCUGAAAAUAAGCUCUAAGCGGCACCAAAUUUGGGUGGCGCAGCCCACCCACCACCUCCAUAUGUCUCUCAAACAUCUCCUUCGUAGUCCCAACCAAUCUCCCUACAUCUAACCUCUUCACACAAACAAUCACCCCGGUUUCCACCUCCGCUUUAUACGUAACUCCCAAACACCCUCUCCCCAGCAUCUCCGCAUUCGCUCUCAUCAACUGUUCUACAGUGUAGACCUGUGUUUCGCCACUACAAAACACUAGUUUCCCACUCUUUCCCUUAUCUAUUCCUUGCUGCAGCUUCCUCACCUUCUCUUCCAGCUCCUCCGUCUCCUCCAUCCUCUUCACUAACUCCGCCGCGUCCGCCGCUGCAGCGUCUGUUACCGCCGCCACCUCCAUCAUGUCACUCGUUGACAUGAUAUCGUUUAGACUGCUGGAGGCGGUGGCAGCACUGAAAACGACGGCGUUUUAGUGGAAGAUUUGCCGAAAAACGGUGUGAUGGAGCUGCAUUCGGUACGGACAAUCUGACCGCAAAGUCCAGCGUUAGGCGAAAAGGACGACGUGCUGAAUUUACUUAAAGUAGGAGUUACUGGAACUGGACCGGUUAAAGCGUUGAACGAUACGUUGAAGAUGUUGAGAUAUGUCUGGUUGAGCGGUGGAAUUGAACCGAUAAGUCGAUUAGAAUCGAGACGAAGGUAGGUUAAUCUGGAUAGAUUUGUAAUAUCAACAGGAAUGAUGCCGGAUAAGAUGUUGUGUGAGAGAUCUAGUGUUCGUAGACGAUGAAGAGAGGCGAUUGAAGGCGGAAUUACGCCGCUAAAGAAGUUGUAGUUUAGAAACAGAAUUUUGAGGUUCACAAGUCCGGAGAGGUCAGGAAUUGGUCCGGAAAGCGAGUUGUUGUAAAGGCUCAGAACGCGUAAUUGGUGGAGACGAGUUAAUGUGUCAGGUGCGAAAACGCCAGUCAGACUUAGGUUUUCGAGGAGGAAGCGAACCACAGUACCGUCUGACUGGCAGUGUACUCCCUGCCAUUGGCAGGGAGUACUGUUAGCGUUAACGGUAUAGUGAAGCUUGUUGUGGAUAUCGGCUUUUAAUACGAAUGCUAAAAUGGAUAAAGCGUCGGUUUCCGGUGGGGAAGCGAGGUUGAAUGGGAUGUAGGAGAGGAAGAGAAUGGUGGUAAGAAUGUAGGUUGGUCUCAUGUUAAGAUAAAAAAUGGGACAAUUGUUAAUGAUCAAGUGAAAGGUUUUGGAUAACAAAUAGCAAAAAGAGCCAUUGUGAGUGUGUAUAAGCAUGUGCUUUAAUUUAUUGUGUGUAAACUGUAAAUGUAAAGUGCAUGUUACCUUAUAAUUGU
This 1366-nucleotide long non-coding RNA is filed under the name Helianthus annuus (common sunflower). Its description in RNAcentral is "hypothetical non coding rna". The record is from RNAcentral. Lineage: Eukaryota; Viridiplantae; Streptophyta; Magnoliopsida; Asterales; Asteraceae.